This 523-nucleotide ribosomal RNA is filed under the name Streptomyces sp. ICN21. Its description in RNAcentral is "bacterial SSU rRNA". It matches the Rfam family "Bacterial small subunit ribosomal RNA", at positions 94 to 631 of the family's 1533-position model. Lineage: Bacteria; Bacillati; Actinomycetota; Actinomycetes; Kitasatosporales; Streptomycetaceae. The record is from RNAcentral.
AGUGGCGAACGGGUGAGUAACACGUGGGCAAUCUGCCCUGCACUCUGGGACAGCCCGGGAAACGGGGUCUAAUACCGGAUACUGAUCCUCGCAGGCAUCUGCGAGGUUCGAAAGCUCCGGCGGUGCAGGAUGAGCCCGCGGCCUAUCAGCUAGUUGGUGAGGUAACGGCUCACCAAGGCGAAGACGGGUAGCCGGCCUGAGAGGGCGACCGGCCACACUGGGACUGAGACACGGCCCAGACUCCUACGGGAGGCAGCAGUGGGGAAUAUUGCACAAUGGGCGAAAGCCUGAUGCAGCGACGCCGCGUGAGGGAUGACGGCCUUCGGGUUGUAAACCUCUUUCAGCAGGGAAGAAGCGAAAGUGACGGUACCUGCAGAAGAAGCGCCGGCUAACUACGUGCCAGCAGCCCCGGUAAUACGUAGGGCGCAAGCGUUGUCCGGAAUUAUUGGGCGUAAAGAGCUCGUAGGCGGCUUGUCACGUCGGUUUUGAAAGCCCGGGGCUUAAGCCCGGGUCUGCAGUCGAU